This 331-nucleotide unclassified non-coding RNA is filed under the name Hevea brasiliensis (rubber tree). The record is from RNAcentral. Lineage: Eukaryota; Viridiplantae; Streptophyta; Magnoliopsida; Malpighiales; Euphorbiaceae.
UCAACUAAGACUUUAUCCCAAAAAAUUUAUUAGAGCCAGCUAUAUGGAUUCUCUUAUGAAAAACACUAAAGAGAAAGAAAUAUGAAAAAGCCAUGGCAUAUUAAGAAUGCCAGUUACAGCUCCUCAAUUACGACCAUUAGGACUUCAAUAUAGGAUUUUCAUGUAUGUCAAGAUUAUAACUCUCAAUACAAUUCUAGAGUUUCAAAAAUAAGGUCUUCUAGAAACCCUAAUCCUCUUCUUUUCAGCGACAGAUAUUCUCUCAAAUAAAAUUGCUCGUUAAUCUCCCAAAUUGCACCUUAAAAAACUUGAAUCCAGUGAUCUAGAACACCCC